UACGGAGGAUGCGAGCGUUAUCCGGAUUUAUUGGGUUUAAAGGGUGCGUAGGCGGCUGUUUAAGUCAGCGGUGAAAUGCAAGGGUUCAACCCUUGACGUGCCGUUGAAACUGAGUGGCCAGAAUGCGGAUGCUGUGGGAGGAAUGUGUAGUGUAGCGGUGAAAUGCAUAGAUAUUACACAGAACACCGAUUGCGAAGGCAUCUCACAAAUCCGUGAUUGACGCUGAGGCACGAAAGUGCGGGGAUCAAAU
This 250-nucleotide ribosomal RNA is filed under the name uncultured prokaryote. Its description in RNAcentral is "partial 16S ribosomal RNA". It matches the Rfam family "Bacterial small subunit ribosomal RNA", at positions 524 to 773 of the family's 1533-position model. The record is from RNAcentral.